Molecule: ribosomal RNA, 253 nt
Filed under: uncultured bacterium
Lineage: Bacteria
Description: partial 16S ribosomal RNA
Rfam family: Bacterial small subunit ribosomal RNA
Source: RNAcentral
UACGUAGGGGCCGAGCGUUGUCCGGAUUCAUUGGGCGUAAAGGGUGCGUAGGUGGCGCUGUAAGUCAGGUGUGAAAUUUCGGAGCUUAACUCCGAAACUGCAUUUGAUACUGCGGUGCUCGAGGACUGGAGAGGAGACUGGAAUUUACGGUGUAGCAGUGAAAUGCGUAGAUAUCUGGAGGAACACCGGUGGCGAAGGCGGCAUCCUGGACCAAUACUGACACUGAGGAGCGAAAGCCAGGGGAGCAAACGGG